GUUCACUAGAAGAUUAAGGUGAAUAAGGAGAGGUUAAGCGCAACUUUUGAAAUCAGCCACUACUUUCCGCUACAAAUUGAAAAUGGGGGCUGCAGGACUCAUAAUGAUACUUCUGAUGCUAAAAGUUACAGCUGCACAAACCAGUAUCACAGCCACUCCUACAACAACAACUGCUCCUCCUACCACAACAACUGCUGCGCCUACAAUGACAACAGCUGCUCCCACCACAACAACAGCUGCUCCUACCACAACAACAGCUGCUCCCACCACAACA
Molecule: long non-coding RNA, 274 nt
Organism: Cyprinodon tularosa
Lineage: Eukaryota; Metazoa; Chordata; Actinopteri; Cyprinodontiformes; Cyprinodontidae
Exons: 3
Source: RefSeq, a predicted model, not a curated record